CGAACAAUAAAAAGCAUGACUGUUCGGUAUUUUAAUUGUACGAAAAGAGACCGGCAGCACCAGCUGAACGCAUGGAACUAUUUUGGGCAGGAGCCUCGUGUACGGCCAGGCAGGGAUGGGACUUCCAGCUAUCUCACGAACCCCUGAACCGAUUCGUAUGAUUUUUGCAUAUGUUUGUCCCCUAAUUAUGCUUGUUCUGAAAAUUUAAGUUUUAUUGGAAUCGAAUGUAUAGUUUUGAUGUUAUAAAAAUUUAGUAAAAAGUAUAUUUUUCGCUUGGCCAUAAUUGAGCUGAUACAGCAAUUAACUCGAUUAUCUCCCAAGCAGAGGGGAGGAAUUUACUCUAAUGAAUGUUUAACUGUGUAAAUGAUUGGUUGUUGAGUUUUUGUUUUUGGUGCCCAACAAGGUCCACAUGUUGGGGAAAAGUUGUAUAAAAGAAAUGCUUGUGUGCCCAUUAAAUCAGUUCCUGCUUAACCCC
Non-coding RNA from Pelobates cultripes (western spadefoot toad), 475 nucleotides. The record is from the annotation of a GenBank genome assembly. Lineage: Eukaryota; Metazoa; Chordata; Amphibia; Anura; Pelobatidae.